RNAcentral lists this ribosomal RNA (253 nucleotides) under uncultured bacterium. RNAcentral's name for it is "partial 16S ribosomal RNA". It matches the Rfam family "Bacterial small subunit ribosomal RNA", at positions 524 to 776 of the family's 1533-position model. The record is from RNAcentral.
GACAGAGGGUGCAAACGUUGUUCGGAAUUACUGGGCGUAAAGCGCGUGUAGGCGGCCCUGCAAGUCGGGUGUGAAAUCCCACAGCUCAACCGUGGAAGUGCACUCGAAACUGCAGGGCUAGAGUCCUGGAGAGGAAGGUGGAAUGCUUGGUGUAGAGGUGAAAUUCGUAGAUAUCAAGCGGAACACCGGUGGCGAAGGCGGCCUUCUGGACAGUGACUGACGCUGAGACGCGAAAGCGUGGGGAGCAAACAGG